Eriocheir sinensis (Chinese mitten crab) is the source of this 2755-nucleotide long non-coding RNA. RefSeq lists it as uncharacterized. The record is from RefSeq and is a predicted model, not a curated record. The transcript has 2 exons. Lineage: Eukaryota; Metazoa; Arthropoda; Malacostraca; Decapoda; Varunidae.
GCGGUAACUUUACUGAGACUGGCAGGAGCAGGAAGGCAAGCAGGCAGGCACGGGGCGAGUGAGGCAGAGAAAGAACAGGAGAGGGGAUGGGAGACACCGAGAGAUUAAAAAGACAGUGGAGAAAUAAACUUUAGUAAUGGAUAUCAAGUGUUUAAGAGAGUGAGGAAGUUAAGGAAGUUAUGGGGAAAUAAGCUUGUGUAGAUAUAAGUGGAUAGGUGUUUAAGAGAGUGAGGAAGUUCAGAGACGGUCAAGCCUAGGGCGAAUGCUGGGGGGAGGAGGGGGAGAGAGAGAGAGAGAGAGAGAGAGAGAGAGAGAGAGAGAGAGAGAUGUGACAGGAAGUGCUGAGGGAUGAUGGGUAGAAUAUCGAUAAGGAGAGAGUUUAGUCCAAAUAAGGAUGAGGAAGGAAGGGGAUUGAGAAGCGAGAGGUGUUGCUAAUAAGGACGAGGGAGUAAGAGAAUUGAAAAGUGAGAGGUGUUACUAAUAAGGGUGAGGGAGUAAGGGAAUUAAAAGUCAAGAGAUGUUACUAUUAGGAGAGACUUUAAUCUGAAUGAGGAUGAAGAAGAAAGGGAAUUGAGAAGCGAGAGGUGUUACUGAUAAGGACGAGGGAGUAAGAGAAUUGAAAAGUGAGAGGUGUUACUAUAAGGAGUCAGGAAGGAAGGGGAUUAAGAGGCAAGAGGUGUUAGAUCUGCCUUUAGUCUGAAUGAGGAUGAAGAAGAAAGGGAACUGAUAAGUGAGAGGUGUUACUAUAAGGAGUGAGGAAGGAAGGGGAUUAAGAGGCAAGAGGUGUUAGAUCUGCCUUUCCUCGCCACUCCACGCCGCGCCUCGUCAACUGCCUGCAGGAGGAGCACGCAAGCCAACACAUGGACAGGAGGCAAAAACUUAGCGUCAGAAUACCCCGACCGGCGCUCACUUGGCAUACAGAGGCACGCACAUGAACAGAACACACCCCGAGCCGGCACCAGCACACGCCCCUUCACAGCCUGGCGCACUUCAGAGCAUUAUUGGCCUCACUGCCGCUAUGUUAGGAGUCCACGAUUCACUUUAGUCCUACGCCUGAUUUUUUUAAACGUCGCAUUAGUCUUUAUCAACAACAGUUUGGGUGAUUCGUCUUUUUCAACCCGUUUUUCAAGGCGUGGUUAAUUGGCUUCGUUGAUUUUUCUAUAUCACUUUUUUUUUUAAGACGAGUUUGUAAUAUGUCGACUUAAUUCUGUAAAAAUCCAACACUUCUAGCCAACUCCGUUCCAAAACAAAGAAUUAAAAAGCCAAAUUAGCAACAAAACACUUCAUAAAUGCCCCCAAAUUGGCUUAGGGAAAACACGCUCUACACUCCGAUAUAUCCCCCCGCCUCCUUCCCUGCGUCACCCCUCAUCACCGCGGCUCGAUCACCACUAGAUAGCAUGGCAGGGUACAGGAGGGAGUCAAAGGGCAUAGGCGCGGACCGUUCACACACCACCUUGGCUCACACUCACUGCCGCGGAUCUGUUUCCAAAGCCCGAGCGAAGCGUCUGUUGAGCUCCUUGACGGUGAGGGACGGGGAGGAAACUGCCCUUCAUGGCACGCACUGGGAACACACACACACACACACACACACACACACACACACACACACACACACACACACACACACACGAGGCUAUCUUGAAUGAGGGCAGGAGGAGCAAAAAUUAUGAGUGAGAGAGUGAGUGCGAGGAACAGACGAGGAGAAAAUGAUGGGGGUCAGGCCGGGGCGUUAAUCAGGCAAGCGGUGAGUGAGUGACCACCGGGGUAAGGGGGAGGGGGGGGGGCGGGGCAGCGAGACGGGGUAUGGUUUAUGGCGCAAGUGUGGCAGGUAAACAGUUUAUGCCACAGGUGAGGGGAGGCGUCUGGCGGAUAAGCAAGACUCCCUCCCUGACCCCAUACUCUCAUGAGGGAAGAUGUAACAAUGCUGGAGGGUGGGACGGAGGAGGGGGGGUGAAGGUAGGUUAGUGAGGGGAGGGGAGAGGAGGGUGAAGGUAGGUUAGUGAGGGGAGGGGAGAGGAGGGUGAAGGUAGGGUAGUGAGGGGAGGGGAGAGGAGGGUGAAGGUAGGGUAGUGAGGGGAGGGGAGAGGAGGGUGAAGGUAGGGUAGUGAGGGGAGGGGAGAGGAGGGUGAAGGCAGGUUAGUGAGGGGAGGGGAGAGGAAGGUUGGGGAGGUGUAACAGAGGAAGCAGACAAUACUGGCAGACCCCUCCUCUUCCUCUCCUCCUCCUCCUCCUCCUCCUCCUUCAGUAAUCCCUCUCACUUCCUCCUCCUUUAAUAUACCACCCACACAUCCCUUCUUUUUCCCCUUCAAUAAUUACCACCACCUCCUUUUUCCUCACCCCUUUCCUCUCCUCCUCCUCCUCCUCCUUCUCCAGUAAUCUAUCUCCCUCUCUUCUCACUUCCUCCUCCUCCUCCUCUUCCUCCUUACCCUGUACCACCCACCCAUACCCCUUCAUUAACUAACUAAUCACACCCUCUCAUUUCUCCUCACCCCUUCCCCCUUCCUCUCCUCCUCCUCCUCUUCAUCAUAUACCACCCACACAUCCCCCUCCUUUAAUUAACAACCCCCACCUUCCUCCUCACCCCUUCCCCGACACAACGCCCACACCCCUGUCUUGAUUUACAGUUUCACUCUCAUCCAUUUUCUUUAAUUAUCAAUCCCCAACACCAGUCAUGCCUCAUUCUGUAUAUCAAUAAAACUUUUCCUCUCUCUCUCUCUCUCUCUCUCUCUCUCUCUCUCUCUCUCUCUCUCUCUCU